GCUAUAACAAAUAUUUAGAAAAGAGUUAAUUACAACCUUACACAAACUCUUUAAGAGAAAGGGAAAUCGUCUCUUAAUGGUUUUGUGAAGUGUGAUAAACUGAAUUCUAAGAUGUCUUCCCAAAGAUCCCAUGCUCCAAUACCAGAAGAGGUGAGAUGUACUUAAGGUUACUCAUUACUUGACCUUAAAAUGGUGACACUAUUUUUAUUAUUAACAUGGGCCCAUAAAAUCACAAGAGCCCUUAAAGUAGAAGAGGAGGUCAGAGGAUGCAGCAGGAGAGGAGGUCAGAUGACAAAGCAGCAGAGGAGGUCAGAGGAUGCAGCAGGAGAGGAGGUCAGAGGAUGCAGCAGCAAAGGAGGUCAGAGGAUGCAGCAGCAGAGGAGGUCAGAGGAUGCAGCAGCAGAGGAGGUCAGAGGAUGCAGCAGCAGAGGUGGUCAGAGGAUGCAGCAGGAGAGGAGGUCAGAGGAUGGUUUGAAGCCCUGGAAGGAUUCAGGGAGCAGCUGCUGGCUUUGAAGAUGGAGGGGCUGUGGGAGAAGCAAGCUGGCAGCCUCCAGACUCUGAGAAUGGCGCCUGGCCCACCCCUACUGCCCAUGAGAAGACAGAGUCUUUAGUCCUACAACUGCCUGAGGAGGAAAUGAAAUGUACAACCACCUGCAUUAGCCUGAGAGUGGAUUCUAUUCCAGAGCCUCCAUAUAUAAGCCCUGGCUGGCUGACACUGAUUUUAGUCCAGUGAGAACCAGCCCAGAGACUCCAGUGUGACAUUCCUGAAUUUAUGACCUGCAGAACUGAGAGACAUUACAUCCGCCUUGUUUUAUUGCUCUGUCUAGGUCUGCCCUUGGACAAAGCCAACUGAAAUUGGGAACUCAAACCUAUAUGGGUUUCUUCUGCAACUCCUCUCUCCAAUCUGCCUGCUUUUGCUUGUUUUUCAGAGUCCUCAGGUAGUUGCUUUUUGUAUUUUAUCCAGAGGUUUUCGUUGUAAUUAGUGGGAACAGAGGCUGUAGUGGUCUUAACUGAUCCCAGUCAGAACUGAAAACCGUUCUGUCUCCUCUUGUUGAAUGCCUGAUAGACCUUUGCAUUCAAUUCUUCAUGCCUUGUCAUUUCUCUUCAAUGUUUCCCAUAUGCUCAUUUUUCUAAGAUGCAAAUUCUGGGGCCAGCCUGGUGGCACAGUGGUUAAAUUUGCCCACUCAGCUUCAGUGGCCUGGAAUUCCCUGGUUUGGAUCCUGGUUGCAGACCUACACACCACUCAUCAGGGCGUGCUGUGGCAGUGUCCCACAUAUAAGCAGAGGAAGAUUGGCAACAGAUGUUGGCUCAGGGCCAGUCUUCCUCACACACACACACAAAAAGUAAAUUGCAAAUCCUAUGAUAAAUACUAUGACUAUCUUUGAACAAUAAUCUUUGUGAUUAUCACUGAUUAAUAUUAUUACAUAAUUCUCAAUUGCUUUCAAAAGUGGUUGGAAAAAAUCAUAUUCCUACCAACAACAUGUAGGAAUGACUCACUAUAUUCUCCCUCACAUUUAUUUUUAUUAUUUAAAAAAUGACGUCUGAUAGUUUUUUAUAUGCACA
Molecule: long non-coding RNA, 1563 nt
Organism: Equus caballus (horse)
Lineage: Eukaryota; Metazoa; Chordata; Mammalia; Perissodactyla; Equidae
Source: Ensembl